Molecule: ribosomal RNA, 474 nt
Filed under: uncultured Desulfovibrio sp.
Lineage: Bacteria; Pseudomonadati; Thermodesulfobacteriota; Desulfovibrionia; Desulfovibrionales; Desulfovibrionaceae
Description: bacterial SSU rRNA
Rfam family: Bacterial small subunit ribosomal RNA
Source: RNAcentral
AGACGGGGGCCCGCACAAGCGGUGGAGUAUGUGGUUUAAUUCGACGCAACGCGCAGAACCUUACCUAGACUUGACAUCCCGGGGAUUUCUGGAAACAGAGAAGUGCUUUAGCAAUAAAGAACCCGGUGACAGGUGCUGCAUGGCUGUCGUCAGCUCGUGUCGUGAGAUGUUGGGUUAAGUCCCGCAACGAGCGCAACCCUCGCCUUUAGUUGCCAGCAUUCAGUUGGGCACUCUAGAGGGACUGCCGGUGUCAAACCGGAGGAAGGUGGGAUGACGUCAAGUCCUCAUGGCCUUUAUGUCUAGGGCUACAUACGUACUACAAUGGCCGGUACAAAGGGCAGCCACUCAGCGAUGAGGCGCUAAUCCCGUAAAGCCGGUCUCAGUCCGGAUCGCAGUCUGCAACUCGACUGCGUGAAGUUGGAAUCGCUAGUAAUCGUAGAUCAGCAUGCUACGGUGAAUACGUUCCCGGGCCUU